AAAAGUCUCGGCUAAGUGGUAAACGAUGUGAGAAGGCAUAGACAGCCAGGAGGUUGGCUUAGAAGCAGCCAUCCUUUAAAGAAAGCGUAAUAGCUCACUGGUCUAGUCGGCUCGCGCGGAAGAUAUAACGGGGCUCAAGCCGAGCACCGAAGCUAUGGGUGUGUAGCAAUACACGCGGUAGGGGAGCGUUCUGUAGGCCUGCGAAGGUGUGCUGCGAGGCAUGCUGGAGGUAUCAGAAGUGCGAAUGCUGACAUGAGUAACGUUAAAGCGGGUGAAAAACCCGCUCGCCGAAAACCCAAGGUUUCCUGAGCUACGUUAAUCGGCUCAGGGUGAGUCGGAUCCUAAGGUGAGGCCGAAAGGCGUAAUCGAUGGACAUCAGGUUAAUAUUCCUGAACCGACAAUUACUGCGAUGGGGUGACGGAGAAGGCUAAAACAUCGGCAGCAGUGCCGUCCAAGCAUGUAGGCGGAUCUUCCUGGCAAAUCCGGAAGGUCAUUCAACGCCAAGGUGUGAGUGCGAGUCGAACCGCAAGGUAAGGCGAAGUGUUUGAUGCCCCGCUUCCAGGAAAAGCCUCUAAGCUUCAGGUAAUUGUUGUCCGUACCGUAAACCGACACUGGUGGGUGAGCAGAAAAUCUGCUUAGGCGCUUGAGAGAACUCUGGUUAAGGAACUCUGCAAAUUGAUACCGUAACUUCGGAAGAAGGUAUGCCUUUUUUGGUCACAGGACUUGCUCCUGGAAGCUGAGAGAGGCCACAGGUAAUCGGGGGCUGCGACUGUUUACCAAAAACACAGGACUCUGCGAACACGUAAGUGGAUGUAUAGGGUCUGACGCCUGCCCGGUGCCGGAAGGUUAAUUGAUGGGGUCAGCCGCAAGGCGAAGCUCUUGAUCGAAGCCCCGGUAAACGGCGGCCGUAACUAUAACGGUCCUAAGGUAGCGAAAUUCCUUGUCGGGUAAGUUCCGACCUGCACGAAUGGCGUAACGCUGGCCCCACUGUCUCGACCAGAGACUCAGUGAAGUUGAAAUCGCUGUGAAGAUGCGGCGUAGCUGCGGAAAGACGGAAUGACCCCGUGAACCUUUACUACAGCUUUACACUGAACUUUGAAUUUGUUUGUGUAGGAUAGGUGGGAGCCUAUGAAGCAGGGGCGCUAGCUCUUGUGGAGGCAACCUUGAAAUACCACCCUGAUAACUUCGGAGUUCUAACCUAGGUCCGUAAUCCGGACUGGGAACAAUGUAUGGUGGGUAGUUUGACUGGGGCGGUCUCCUCCCAAAGAGUAACGGAGGAGUGCAAAGGUACCCUCAGCGCGGUCGGUCAUCGCGCUUUUGAGUGCAAUGGCAUAAGGGUGCUUGACUGCGAGACGUACAUGUCGAGCAGGAACG
Molecule: ribosomal RNA, 1374 nt
Filed under: metagenome
Description: bacterial LSU rRNA
Rfam family: Bacterial large subunit ribosomal RNA
Source: RNAcentral